UACGUAGGGUGCGAGCGUUAAUCGGAAUUACUGGGCGUAAAGUGUGCGCAGGCGGCCGAGCAAGUCGAGUGUGAAAUCCCCGGGCUUAACUUGGGAAUUGCGCUCGAAACUACUUGGCUUGAGUGUGGCAGAGGAAGGUGGAAUUCCACGUGUAGCGGUGAAAUGCGUAGAGAUGUGGAGGAACACCAAUGGCGAAGGCAGCUCGCUGGACCUCUUCUGACGCUGAGGCGCGAAAGCCAGGGGAGCAAACGGG
RNAcentral lists this ribosomal RNA (253 nucleotides) under uncultured bacterium. Its description in RNAcentral is "partial 16S ribosomal RNA". It matches the Rfam family "Bacterial small subunit ribosomal RNA", at positions 524 to 776 of the family's 1533-position model. The record is from RNAcentral.